CGCAAACGCACCCCUAGCCACCCGCCCUAAUACGAGGAUAGCCCGUGACAACCAGAAUGCAGUAUCCCUAAAGCCUCUGCAGUCCCUGCGAUUGUGGGAUCCUGACUAUGUCAGGAUUUUGGCUUUGCAGGGUGUGGCAAGGGUCUUGCUCUUGCCUGGGGCUGGAGUGCAGGGUGAAGUCACACCUCAUUGCAGCCUCAACCUCCCAGACUCAAGCAAUCCUCCCACCUCAGCAGGCAUAUAUAAAUGGAAUCAUCGAAAUUUAAAAUUUGCACUUCAAAGAACACCAUCAAGAAAGUGAAGACAACCCAGAGAAUGGGAGAAAAUAUUUGCAAUCAUAUAUCUGAUAAAGGACAUGUAUACAGAAUUUUGUAAAACUAUUACAACUGAAUAAUAAGAACAAAUAACACAAUGAAAAAAAUAGGCAAAGUAUUUGGUUAGAUAGUUCUCCAAAGAAGAUAUAUAAUGGCCAAUAAACACAUGAAAAGAUGCCGAACAUCAUUAGCCAUCAGGGAAAUGCAAAUCAAAACGACAGUAAGAUACCACUUCCCACCUACUAGCUUGACCGUAAUCCAGAAGACAGAUUACAAGUAUUGGAAAGGAUGUGAAGAAAUUACAACUUUCAUAACUUGCUGGCAGGAAUGUAAAAUGGUGCAACCAUUUUGGAAAACAGUCUGGCAGUUUCUUCAGUCAGUAAAACAUACCAUAUGACCCAGCAAUUCCACCCCUAGUUGUAUACUUAAGAGAAAUGAAAAUGUGUGCACCAAGAACUUGUAUAUGAAUGUUCAUAGCUGCAAAAUCCAUAACAGUCAUUAUGUGGAAACAACCUAAAUGUCUAUCAGCUGAUGUAUGAAUAAACAAAACAUGCUAUGUUCAUACAAUGGAAUAUUGUUUGGCCAUAGUAAGAAAUGGUACCAAUACAUGCUACAAUGUGAAUGAACCUUAAAAACAUGCUAAGUGAAAGAAGUCAGUCACAGAAAACCACAUAUAAUAUGAUUCUAUUGAUAUGAAAUAUCCAGAAUAGGCAAAUAUACAGAGAUAGAAAGAUUAGUGGUUGCCUAUGGGGAGGGGCUUGGGGAGUGGUAUCUAAAUGGUGCAGUUUCUUUUGGAGGUAGUGAAAGAGUUCUAAAAAAUGACUGGGAGGCCAGGUGCAUGGCUCAGGCCUGUAAUCCCAGCACUUUUGAAGGCUGAGGCAGGAGGAUUGCUCGAGCCAAGGAGAUCAAGAUCAGCCUAGGCAACAUAGCGAGACCCCAUCUCUAUAAAAAAAAUUAAUUAAAGGAAAAAGAUGAUCAGGGCAGUAAAUACACAAGUCUGUGAUUAUACUAAAACCAUUGAAAUGUAAACUUUUAAUGGGUAAAUUGCAUAGUAUUUGGAUUAUAUCUGAAUAAAGCUGUUUUUAGAAAAAUAC
RNAcentral lists this long non-coding RNA (1408 nucleotides) under Homo sapiens (human). Its description in RNAcentral is "HSALNT0251201". The record is from RNAcentral. Lineage: Eukaryota; Metazoa; Chordata; Mammalia; Primates; Hominidae.